RNAcentral lists this unclassified non-coding RNA (217 nucleotides) under Hevea brasiliensis (rubber tree). The record is from RNAcentral. Lineage: Eukaryota; Viridiplantae; Streptophyta; Magnoliopsida; Malpighiales; Euphorbiaceae.
UAUUGGAAUGAAGAAAAACAGGGAAAUUGGCCACUGAAAUCAUUGGAAGAAAGAUCUAACAUCUCUAAUUCGGGAAGGAAUGUAAAAAUACCAGGAACUUGCCUUGUAAAAGCGUUAGAUAUCAUAAACCCAAGAAAUUGAGUUGCUCAAAAUUGCCAAUUGGUGCUGAAAUUGUGCUAAAAAAAAUUAUUGUGUAAAAGAGAUAACUAUUCAAUAA